GAUGAACGCUAGCAGCAGGCCUAAUACAUGCAAGUCGAACGAGAUUAAGAGGCUUGCUUCUUAUGAAAGUGGCGCACGGGUGCGUAACGCGUAUGCAACCUACCUUAAUCAGGGGGAUAGCCCGAAGAAAUUCGGAUUAAGACCGCAUAAAAACACAGGAUAGCAUUAUCCAAUGUUCAAAUAUUUAUAGGAUUAAGAUGGGCAUGCGUGUCAUUAGCUAGUUGGCGGGGUAACGGCCCACCAAGGCGACGAUGACUAGGGGAUCUGAGAGGAUGACCCCCCACACUGGUACUGAGACACGGACCAGACUCCUACGGGAGGCAGCAGUAAGGAAUAUUGGUCAAUGGAGGGAACUCUGAACCAGCCAUGCCGCGUGCAGGAAGACAGCCCUCUGGGUCGUAAACUGCUUUUAUUCGGGAAUAAACCUUUCUACGUGUAGGAAGCUGAAUGUACCGAAGGAAUAAGGAGCGGCUAACUCCGU
Molecule: ribosomal RNA, 481 nt
Filed under: uncultured bacterium
Lineage: Bacteria
Description: partial 16S ribosomal RNA
Rfam family: Bacterial small subunit ribosomal RNA
Source: RNAcentral